RNA transcript from Helianthus annuus (common sunflower), 2680 nucleotides. It is a transcript of the gene named 2-oxoisovalerate dehydrogenase subunit beta 2, mitochondrial-like, with no coding region annotated. The record is from RefSeq and is a predicted model, not a curated record. NCBI's taxonomy places the organism in Eukaryota, Viridiplantae, Streptophyta, Magnoliopsida, Asterales, Asteraceae. The transcript has 9 exons.
CACAAAACUUCAUCAGACCCCUCUCUCUCUCUCUCGGCUGCUCAAGGACAUCAUGCCAGAUCUCUUUCUCAUGUGUAUUGAACGGCUCCAUCUCCUCUCUAACACCACCGAUUUAAUCUCCGAUUUGAAGAUUAAAUCAGGGAGAUUUGACUUCGAAUAAGUUCGUUCUUCCGAUUCAACAACCAUCAGUGAAUCAAGUCUGCAAAGAUCGGUGGCUACGGAGAAGAGUUCCCGGCUGGUCCUAGGGUUACCCGCUACAGGUUCUGGUUCGCAACAACCAGCAAUGCAACAACGUCCGGUUCAGACGCCGCCGGCGCAGCAACAGUCGGCUGACUCACCGUUGGCGCCGUCAUCGUCGAAGAAGAUAAGUGUUGAACUUACAUUUUUAUAAUUUUAUUUGCUGUGUUCUGUUUAUAAUGCUUAAUUUUAUUUUUGUAAUGUUAUUUCAGUUUUGGAAAUUACAUUUUUGUUAUUUUAUUUGUCGUGUUCCGUUUAUAAUGCUUAAUUGCUUGUGAGGUGAUAAUGCAUUGAUAAUGAUACUCUGUGCUAAUGUUAUUUCAAGUUUGGUUUUAGGUAUCAAUUUCUUCUGAGGUUACAUCAAAGACCAAAUACAGAGAAAUCAUGAAAUUUCUCAGCUUUCUGUAUCGGGCUUCACACCUCGGAAAUUUGCUGUUAGCUUAUGAUGGAAAGAAGAGUGCGUUUGUUGCGGGUCCAUUGCCCUUUGAGUCUAAAGAGUUUGCCGUUAAAAUCCUUGAGCAUGAUGGGCGGAAACAUGACUUCAGUGUUACAAUCAAGUUUGCUGGCAAAAAAGAUCUUCACUACCUGAAGCAGUUCGUGAGUAGCAGAGAGCAUGAUGGUUUACUACAGGGUAUUGUUGGAUUUGCUAUUGGUCUUGCAGCUAUGGGGAAUCGCGCUAUAGUGGAAAUUCAGUUUGCAAAUUACAUUUUUCCUGCUUUUGAUCAGAUAUGUGUUGGGUUCUGGUGACCGAUGAGUUGAGCGACAGAUCUGGAGAAUGCUGAACACCAAAAUAGCUAAGUUUGAGUCAGAUUUGUGCAAAGGUUUGAUCGGGAGAGGACAUGCCCGUUAUGUCGAGCACUUGUUAGGGUUUGGUGAAAAAUGGAUAAAGAAUGGGUCAUUGUCAAACCCAUUUUGGACAAAGAUUUAUGGAACCCAUCAUCAAAGUUGAAUGAAGCAGAGAAGAAAGAUUUGAAGGCGAAGUUUAACGAGGAAGCAAAACACUGGACUGAUGCUAUCCCCACUGGCAAUGGCCGCCUUGGUGGGAUGGUUUGGGGUGAUUUCAUGUGAAAUUGCUGUUGCAGAGGAUACAUUGUGGACAGGGGUUCCUGGGAACUAUACGAAUCCUGAUGCUCCAAAUGCGUUAUAUGUGGUCAGGAAGCUUGUAGAUGAUGGAAAGUAUGCUGAUGCUACUAAAGAAGCUGUUAAAUUGUCAGCAGAUCCGUCUGAUGUAUGCUUCUUCACUAUAACUACUUAAUAUAUGACUGACCGCCUGACUAUAUGAGUUAGUUAGUGGUGCUUUGAAAGUGAUUAUAUGAUGUUAAAUAAUUAAAAUCAGAUAAUUAGGGUGUUUUUGCUGUCUGAAUUUGCGAUAAUCAGAUGUCCGAGUGUUUAGCAAAAUCUAAUGUUUUCUCAAAUGUAGAUAGAUGAUCACAAGCAAAAUUCGUUUUAGAAGUCAGCUUGUGGCAGGCUGAAUUGUUCUACCUUAACACGACCCGUAUGUAUAUUUGUUUUUGUCAAAAACAUCAACCCUAACCCAAACACACUUAAAAUCGUGUAACCGAAUUAUUUAAAUGUGAAAUGGGUUGGCGGGUAGUAAUCAAGUUGCAAAUGUGCUAAUCGGGUUGGUGGGUUGUGAUGGUUAAAUGGGGUUGAUGGGUCGUCCUUAUUAUUCAAAUAGAGGGAUAGCUUCGGUACGCUUUUUCCACAUGUACAACUUUUUAAAGCAUAUGUACCACCACUUAAAGCAUAUGGUCUAUGAAGAAAGGUCUUUGUAAGCGUGCUUAUAUUGGCAAGAAAGUGGAGACAAGCUUCGGCAGCCGGGAUGAUGCUGGACAAUGCCAGUGGUGAUGUUGGACGAUAUUUGUAAAGCUCAUGACGUAGAUAGACCAAACCCGUGACCGGCCAAAAUGAUUCUGUUAGGUGAUUUGAAUGAUGUCGUAGGUUCCAAGUUCCAAACUGUGAACCAAACUGUUAAAAGAUAAAUUAUGAACGCAUCGCUGCAUGUUCUAAAUAGAAAAAAAGUUGAAAAACAAUGGUCAUCGGCUCCAAGUUCCAAACUGUUAAACUCGGUUUUCCAAAACCAUGCACUGAACCAUAUAAAUCUCUAACUAGUUUUUGUGAAAUUUGCAGCUUUGAUGGUCGAAAAUGGUAAAUUUCUUUAUUCUGCGAAACGAAAGUGGAGAAGUACAUGUACAGAGUAUAUCAUUUCAAUGGCUGCAAAUAACAUAUAAAGAUCAAACAGCAGUUACUUUGGUAAAGUCGGAUCCAAUUUUCUCGGUACACAACGAUUUUGAACGGUUAAUCGUUUAGUUCUUGCAGUUUAGUUUUGUGGAUAAUGAUUCUGUUUUUUGUAUGAUAUUUGAUCUGAUGAUUACAUAACAAUUUGUGGUUUUAUAUUAUGAUUUUUAAACAGAGAUUCGUUAAGAAUUUUCACUCCUAUUUG